RNAcentral lists this ribosomal RNA (292 nucleotides) under uncultured bacterium. RNAcentral describes it as "partial 16S ribosomal RNA". It matches the Rfam family "Bacterial small subunit ribosomal RNA", at positions 505 to 796 of the family's 1533-position model. The record is from RNAcentral.
GUGUCAGCCGCCGCGGUAAUACGUAGGGUGCAAGCGUUAAUCGGAAUUACUGGGCGUAAAGCGUGCGCAGGCGGUUCGGAAAGAAAGAUGUGAAAUCCCAGAGCUUAACUUUGGAACUGCAUUUUUAACUACCGAGCUAGAGUGUGUCAGAGGGAGGUGGAAUUCCGCGUGUAGCAGUGAAAUGCGUAGAUAUGCGGAGGAACACCGAUGGCGAAGGCAGCCUCCUGGGAUAACACUGACGCUCAUGCACGAAAGCGUGGGGAGCAAACAGGAUUAGAAACCCCCGUAGUCC